UUCCUACGGGAGGCUGCAGUGGGGAAUCUUGCGCAAUGGGCGAAAGCCUGACGCAGCGACGCCGCGUGGGGGAAGAAGGCCUUCGGGUUGUAAACCUCUUUCAGGUGGGACGAAGCCACUCGGGUGAACAGCCCAGAGGGUGACGGUACCACCAGAAGAAGCCCCGGCUAACUACGUGCCAGCAGCCGCGGUAAUACGUAGGGGGCAAGCGUUGUCCGGAUUUAUUGGGCGUAAAGAGCGUGUAGGCGGCCAGGUAGGUCGGUUGUGAAAACUGGAGGCUCAACCUUCAGACGUCGACCGAAACCAUCUGGCUAGAGUCCGGAAGAGGAGAAUGGAAUUCCUGGUGUAGCGGUGAAAUGCGCAGAUAUCAGGAAGAACACCCGUGGCGAAAGCGGUUCUCUGGGACGGUACUGACGCUGAGACGCGAAAGCGUGGGGAGCGAACAGGAUUAGAUACCCUUGUAGUCA
RNAcentral lists this ribosomal RNA (467 nucleotides) under uncultured Gaiellaceae bacterium. Its description in RNAcentral is "bacterial SSU rRNA". It matches the Rfam family "Bacterial small subunit ribosomal RNA", at positions 336 to 796 of the family's 1533-position model. The record is from RNAcentral. Lineage: Bacteria; Bacillati; Actinomycetota; Thermoleophilia; Gaiellales; Gaiellaceae.